RNAcentral lists this ribosomal RNA (483 nucleotides) under uncultured bacterium. Its description in RNAcentral is "partial 16S ribosomal RNA". It matches the Rfam family "Bacterial small subunit ribosomal RNA", at positions 28 to 507 of the family's 1533-position model. The record is from RNAcentral.
GAUGAACGCUGGCGGCGUGCCUAACACAUGCAAGUCGAACGGAGUCGUUUUGGCAAUCUCUUCGGAGAUGGAAUUCUCGACUUAGUGGCGGACGGGUGAGUAACGCGUGAGCAAUCUGCCUUUAAGAGGGGGAUAACAGUCGGAAACGGCUGCUAAUACCGCAUAAAGCAUUAAAUUCGCAUGUUUUUGAUGCCAAAGGAGCAAUCCGCUUUUAGAGGAGCUCGCGUCUGAUUAGCUAGUUGGCGGGGUAACGACCCACCAAGGCGACGAUCAGUAGCCGGUGUGCGGGGAUGAACGGCCACCACGGGACUGCGACACCGCGCCGCAUCCUACGGGAGGCAGCAGUGGGGAAUAUUGCGCAACGGGGGAAAACCUCCCGCAGCAGCGCCGCGUGGUUGAAGAAGGACUUCGGGUUGUAAAGAUCUUUAAUCACGGACGAAAAAAAUGACGGUACCUGAAGAAUAAGCUCCGGCUAACUACGUG